RNAcentral lists this long non-coding RNA (5433 nucleotides) under Papio anubis (olive baboon). RNAcentral describes it as "lncRNA (ENSPANG00000051201.1)". Lineage: Eukaryota; Metazoa; Chordata; Mammalia; Primates; Cercopithecidae. The record is from RNAcentral.
CCUCAGGUUGCUUAGGUAACGGGAAGGAAAAGAACUUCCCUCUGUUCUUGGGCGGAUCUUACAUUGCUUUUGGAAGAGGUAAUGGACUUGGGAAAGAAAGGAGUAUGUGUAUUGAAGGAAUGAUUAGGUGGGAGGAGUCAGACAGGAAGGCUGCAAUAGCCCGUCACUCAACCCUGGCUGCUUUAUCGUUGGGGCUCAGUGAACAGAUUAUCUGUUUUCAUGGUAAGAGGUUGGGGUUCUCUACUUCAGGUGGGCACUGAGAAAGUGAAUUGCUCGCCUUUGUUUAAAAAUAAUGAAAAUGGGCCGGGCGCAUUGCUCAUGCCUGUAAUCCCAGCACUUUGGGAGGCUGAGGCAGGUGGAUCACUUGAGGUCAGGAGUUUGUGACCAGCCUGGCCAACGUGGUGAGAUCCUGUCUAUACUAAAAAUACAAAAAUUAGCCAGGCAUGGUGAUGGUCACCUGUAAUCCUAGCUACUUGGGAGGCUGACACAGGAGAAUCGCUUGAACCCAGGAGGCGCAGGUUGCAGUGAGCCGAGAUCUCGCCACUGCAGUCCAGCCUGGGUGACAGAGCAAGACUCUGUCUCAAAAACAAACAAACAAAAAACCCAAAAAUAAUGAAAAUGUCUGCCCACCCUUCACUAAGUAGACAUAAUGAAAAUGCAUAUCUUGUGCCCUCUUUUGCUUUUAUUCCGUAAUACCCAAGCCCACGUUUUGGAAUUAAGCCCCACACCCUUUGUGUGAAAGCCACGCGGCUCUUCAAAGGACCCCUUUAGGGGGAGCAUUAAGUUUGCCCAAGGAGGCACCCUUCUGGGUCUUCAAGGCCACCUGGCUGCAAUGCAGUCCAAUUCCAGCCUGUGUCUCCCAGAGCACCCCCUGUGCCAGGGUGGCAGGGUCCGAGGGGUGUGUCCACCAUGGCACCAGACACACACCUGUAAUGUGUGUCCAUGUGAAGAGACCAACAAACAGCCUUUGUGUGGGCAACAAGGCUAUUUGUUUUACCUAGGUGCAGGUGAGCUGAGUCCGAAAAGAGAGUCAGCAAAGGGUGGUGGGAUUAUCAUUAGUUCUUACAGGUUUGGGACAGGCGACGGAGUUAGGAGCAAUGUUUUGCAGGCAAGGGGUGGAUCUCACAAAGUACAUUCUCAAAGAGGAAAAAGAACUGGAAUUGGAAGGACAGGGAGACUGAAGGAUAGCGAGAGAGAGGCUGGAGAAGAGAGUGAAAAGACCGCUUACCCGAUUUGAAAUUGGUGAGAUAUGCCUUAGGCUGGUUGGUCUGAGGACCCGAGGUCGUAGGUGGAUCUCUUCACGGAGUGAGGGUGAGGACAGGGGACUGGUCUCCAGAAGGAGUCCCUCUGACCCCGGUCUUCGGCACCAAAUGUCACACGCGUCCGUGUGAAGAGACCACCAAACAGCCUUUGUGUGAGCAGCAAGGCUGUUGAUUUCACCUGGCUGCAGGCGGGCUGAAUCCGAAAAGAGAGUCAGCAAAGGGUGGUGGGACUAUCAUUAGUUCUUACAGGUUUUGGGAUAGGCGGUGGAGUUAGGAGCAAUGUUUUGGGGGCAGGGGGCGGAUCUCACAAAGUACGUUCUCAAGGGUAGGGAGAAUUACAAAGAACCUUGUUAAGGGUGGGGGAGAUUACAAAGUACAUUGAUCAGUCAGGGUGGGGCAGAAACAAAUCACAAUGGUGGAAUGUCAUCAGUUAAGGCUAUUUUCACUUCUUUUGUGGAUCUUCGGUUACUUCUGGACAUCUGGAUGUGUACGUGCAGGUCACAGGGGAUAUGAUGGCUUAGCUUGGGCUCAGAGGCCUGAUAACACCAGCUGAAUGUAGCCUCGUAAUUGCUGAGCCCUGUUCGCAAUAUUUUUGUUUCCAUGUUUACUUUUUCAGUUUUAGGAGCUUUGUUGUCACAGGAGCUUUGUAUCCCUGGUCAAAACUACUCUGGUGAAGCUCUCUAGGUGUCUCUAAGUUGGCACAGGAAGAGCAGUUUUCCUGAGUUCCUCAUGCAACUUGACCCCACUCCCUUCAGCAAAGUCCUGGGAGCUCAAGGGAGGCUGCCCAGUCAGCUGUGGCCCAUCCAACGCAUUGGGGACCUGCCCACUUGGCUCUUAAUUUGCAUUUUGAAAUGUCACCUAAGUGAUUUCAGACCAGAUAAGAAGAUGAGCUUCUCUUGUUAUGGAAAAAGGAAGAGAGACAGAGAGAGAAACCUCGAUUUUGUUAUUUAGCUAUUCCUCAAAUUCUUAUGACCAGUGAUGUUAAAAAAAAUCUCUAGAACAACACAAUUAUUUACAUUUAACUCAUAUUUUAUUUUUAUUUAUUUAUUUAUUCUUGAGAUGGAGUCUCGCUGUGACACCCAGGCUGGAGUGCAGUGGUACAAUCUCGGCUCACUGCAAGCUCAGCUUCCCAGGUUAAAGCGAUUCUCCUGCCUCAGCCUUCCAAGUAGCUGGGAUUACAGGUGCCCACCACGUCUGGCUAAUCAAUUAAUUAUUAUCAUUUUUUGAGACGGAGUCUCACUCUGUCACCCAGGCUGGAGUGCAGUGGUGUGAUCUUGGCUCACUGCAACCUCCACCUCCCAGGUUAAAACAAUUCUCCUGCCUCAGUCUCCUGAGUAGCUGGGAUUACAGGCACACACCACCAUGCCUGGCUAAUUUUUUUAUUUUAUUUUUAGUGGAGAUGGGGUUUCAUCAUAUCGGCCAGGCUGGUCUCAAACUCCUGACCACAAGUGAUCCACCCGCCUCAGCCUCCAAAAAUGCUGGGAUUACAGGCAUGAGCCACCGCACCUGGCCUUAACUCAGAUUUUAAAUAUGAGAGUAUCAAUUUGUAGGGGUGGAAGAGGUGUGAUACCUCUCCUCACACACUGUGUGGGUCACAGCCAAGGCUCCUAUCUCAAAAGAUACAGUCCCACCUCCAACUCCAGUUCGCCUUCUCAUUCAUCCCAAAUAAGUCUCUUGAAAGAGAAUUCUAAGAUGACUCUCUCCAUGUGUCUUCAGGCCUGGAUCGGACUCAGUUUUUGCUCAUCCCAUCUACCGUCCCUUGGUAACUAAAGACUUGGGAAUGAGAAAUACCCUUUUCAAUUCUGACUCUCCUCUUCCUCUCAGCACCAGCAGCAGAUGCUGACCUGGUUCUCUGUUUCUUCUGUCUUCUCCUUCUCUGUCCUCUUCACUAUGUGCUCUUUUCAAAGUUGUCUUUUAAAAUCUUUGUUGCUGGACCAAGGAGUUUCUCCCCCAGCUUCAUUUAGCAUCAAUAACUCUUACCUUUGUCAUAAUUUCUCCCUGACCUCUGGACAUCUUCGCCUACAUGUUCACCAGCACUCUAAGCCCCUUUGGACUCAAACUGAUUAUUUGACCCCUAGGUCCGAUCCUCCUCCCUCUAUAUACUCUCUUUCAUGUAUCCAGUUCUCUGAGUUAGAAUAAAUACAAACCAUCUGGAACUCUGCCCUUCUCUCUCAAAAUCCACUUGGUCAGUAUAGCCUGUGAUUUCUGCUCCCUAACUAGCUCUCUGUCUCACAGGCAUCACCAUUGCCAGUGCCUGGCUGAGGCCCAAAUUACCUGUGCUCUGGGCUCCUGAGGCCAAUUUCUAACCAGCCCCCUGCUGUCACUGUCUUCUGCACCCUGCCCAGCCUAAGACCUGAUGCUGGAGUUGGGAAGGAAGAAAAGAAGGAAAGUAGUGGGUGUAGUGGCACAUGACAGUAGUCCCUACUCUGGAGGCUGAGGCAGGAGGAUUGCUUGAACCCAGGAGGUAGAGGCUGCCACAAGUUAUAAUCACAUCACUGCACUCUAGCCUGGACUAUGGAGUGAGACGUGGAGGUCGGAGGGGAGGGGGGAGGAGGAAAAGAAGAAAGGAUGGAAAAAAGAGGGUAAGGAAGGGAAAAAAGAGAAAGCAAUCCUCUCCUCUUAUUAAAAUCCUGUGCUGGUUCCCCAAUGUCUGAGGGAUAAAACCCAAAUUUCCUAGAAUGGCACAAGGACUCUUUCCCAGUCCAUCCCUGACACCCCAUCCAGCUCUACCCAACCUCCCUGGGGGCCCCUCCCCAGCCCAUACCCUUCUCUCCUCUCUUAAAGCACGCUCACCCUUUGCCCCUGUGAGCUGUCACACUGCACCUUUCUGUUGCCUGUGGUAAAAAAUAAAUGAAUAAAUAAAUAAUCUGAUGAUCCAUGAUACUUAUUAAAGCACAGUAAAGAAGUCUUUAUUCAGGACCAAAUCGAUAGGGUUAGAAACUGUUGUAGUGCAGGAGAGAGAUUGGACUUAACCAGAAACGCAGCCUGAGGAAGUGGGGAUUUACAGCCAAGGAAAGGGUGGGGUCAGUGGAUGGAAAAUGGCUGAGGAGACACAUCAGGAGUCAGGGGGAUUCUGGCUAAACCGGCCUCACCGGAUUCUUGCGGAAGGCAGGUCAGGGGGAUCAGACAGCCCCUGGGAGGUGGGGGAGGAUGAGGAGCCUGAUCAGAUACCAAGGGUGAUUGUGAAAGAAAUCAGGCACAUUCCUCCAUAUAUCUCCCAACUCCCUGAGCCCAGCACAAACACAAUCCACCAUAUAUCUCACAACUUUAGAAAAACACCACCUGGGAAAUCUCCGAUAAGGACACAGCGGGAACCAAUAAAAAAUGCUAAAUGUAUAACGUUAACCAAUUGUAAUGCUGUAACCAAGAGAAUUACCUUGUUCCCCUGUAACUUUACAUAUCCUGUUUACAUCGGGCUAUAAAAAGCAAGCACUCGCAUUGUUCGGGGCCCUCUUGUAUGCUGUGGAAUGGAGGGACCAAGUUCGAACUUGCAGUAAAAGAUCCUUGCCGCUUGGCUUUGACUCUGGACUCUGGUGGUCUUCUUUGGGGAACAAAAGGUCUGGGCAUUACAAUUGCACACUGAAACUGGGGAGUUCUUUGCUAAAACUAGAUUUUACAUGGAAGUGCACAGGUAGACCUAAUAGAAGUUUCAGAAACCUGGCUAAUGGGCCAGGCGCAGUGGCUCACGCCACCAGCACUUUGGGAGGCCAAGGUGAGCGGAUCGCCUGAAGUCAGGAGUUCGAGACCAGUCUGGCCAACAUGGUGAAACUCCAUUUCUAGCAAAAAUACAAAAAUUAGCCGGACAUGGUGGUGCAUGCCUGUAAUCCCAGCUACUCUGGAGGUUGAGGCAGGAGAAUCGCUUGAACCUGGGAGGCAGAAGUUGCAGUGAACCAAGAUUGCACGAUUGUACUCCAGCCUGAGUGACAGAGCAAGAUUCCAUCUCAAAAAAGAAACCUGACUAAUGUUUGACCAAGCUAGGAAUCUUUGUCACUUGCUUGUUCUUUCUCAACUCUGGAAAAUUACUCUUCCUAUGAGUCUGAGCUCAGCUGAUGCCCCAGGGAACACAUCCUGAGGCCAGCAGAGCCGUUCUUCCAGGCUUCCGUUCUCACAGGUGCUUGCGUGCCCGGUUAGAGCAGCCACAUGCCCUUCUGUGGGCACAGUGCCUUUCCCA